UCAGCUGAAAAGGUUGGGUGCAUUGUC
RNAcentral lists this non-coding RNA (27 nucleotides) under Homo sapiens (human). Lineage: Eukaryota; Metazoa; Chordata; Mammalia; Primates; Hominidae. The record is from RNAcentral.